This 2089-nucleotide long non-coding RNA is filed under the name Homo sapiens (human). RNAcentral describes it as "non-protein coding lnc-KIAA0355-5:1". The record is from RNAcentral. Lineage: Eukaryota; Metazoa; Chordata; Mammalia; Primates; Hominidae.
UUUAUUUUUAUUUAUUUAUUUUUUGAGACAGGGUCUCUUUCUGUCAUCCAGGCUGGAGUACAGUGGCACAACCACAGGUCGCUGCAGCCUAGACCUCCUGGGCUCAAGCAGUCCUCCCAUCUCAACCUCCCUAGUAGCUGGGACUACAGGCAUGUGCCAUCAUGCCCAGCUAAUUUUUGUAUUUUUGGUAAACACAGCAUCUCAGCAUGUUAUCCAGGCUGAUCUCGAACUCCUGGGUUCAGUCUGCCUGCCUCCGCCUCCCAAAGUGUUGGGAACCACCAUGCCCACCCUUAUUAUUGCUUUUUAGUAAGUUUUUUUUUUUUUUUUUUUCCAUUUGGUUGGUUGGUUUGGUUUUUGUUUUGUUUUGUUUUGUUUUGUUUUUGAGACUGAGUCCUGCUCUGCUGCCCAGCCUGGAGUACAAAGACGUUAGCACUUUGGGAGGCCAUGGCAGGAGGAUUGCUUGAGCUCAGGAGUUGGAGACCAGCCUGGGCAACAUAGCUAAACCCUGGCUCUACAAAAAAAAAAAAAUUAGGCAAGCAUGGUGGCACACUCCUGUAAUCCCAGCUGCUCCAGAGGCUGAGGUGGGGGGAUUGCUUGAGCCUGAGAGGUAGAGGUUGCAAUGAACCAAGAGCACGCCACUGCACUCCAGCUUGGGAAACAGAGCCAGACUGUGUCUCAAAAAAAAAAAAAAAAAUCUUGCUUAUAGUGAAAAACAUACAAAUUAAAUCUACACUGAGACACCAUUUCUCACUAUCAGUUUGGCAAAAACUCAAAAGCUUGAUUAUAUGCAUACUCUUGGCAAGUAUGUGAAGAAUAUAUACUCUCAUACAUUGAGAAGAAUAAUAUACCAGGUAGAAUUAAAGGACUCACUCUGUUGCUGCCCAGGCUGGAGUGCAGUGGCGCAUCUCCGCUCACUGCAAGCUCCACCUCCCUGGUUCACGCCAUUCUCCUGCCUCAGCCUCCCUAGUAGCUGGGACUACAGACGCCCGCCACCACGCCCGGGUAAUUUUUUGUAUUUUUUUUAGUAGAGACGGGGUUUCACCGUGUUAGCCAGGAUGGUCUCGAUCUCCUGACCUCGUGAUCCGCCCGCCUCGGCCUCCCAAAGUGCUAGGAUUACAGGCGUGAGCCACCGCGCCUGGCGGACUUUUCUUAAAACUGAUGCAAAAAUAAUUCUUAUGUGUAAGAGAUUAGAUCAUUACUGGCCUUAAUUUCUGAACUCUUGGAAAAAUUAAACACCUCACAAUAAAUGAAGCAUCAAAACAGUAUUUCCCUGUGUUACCAUUGAACAGUAGCAAGAGCUUACUGCUGCAGUUAGAAAAAGGAUUCAUAGAAACAGUGAAAGGUAUAGAUUGACCAGCUAUCUAAAGUAAUUCUAUAGCAAGGAUUACAGUGAAGAAACAUGGAGCAAUUAGAUGUUUUUUCUGUUAUAUUUACUCCAGUUGAUUGUUUAAGUCUCAUAAUCUUAUGUGCCAGAUGGAGGAGUAUUGGCUGAAUAGACCAUCAGUGGGUACAUUUUAGUUGAUUAAAUAGCCAAACCAUAUUGGAGGAUGGUUCUCUUAGGUCUCCAGUGUUUUGUAGAGACUAAUUUUUAAUCACUGAGUGAUGAAGCCUUGAAGAGAUGCUUACGAACUUUACAGUUAGCAUAAAGCCAGGGGGGUGUUUCAACCAUUAUGGAUGUUAAACUAAGGAUUAUUAAAGAUCAGACCAGGCACAGUGGCUCACGCCUGUAAUCCCAGCACUUUGGGAGGCUGAGACGAGUGAAUCAUUUGAGGUCAGGAGUUCAGGAUCAGCCUGGCCAACACAGUGAAACCCUGUCUCUACUAAAAAUACAAAAAAAAUGAGCCGGGCUUGGUGGCGUGCGCCUGUAAUCCCAGCUACUCAGGAGGCUGAGGCAGGAGAAUCCCUGGAACCCAGGAGAUGAAGGUUGCAGUGAGUUGAAAUCAUGCCACUGUACUCCAGCCUGAGCAACAGAGCGAGACCCUGUCUCAAAAAAAAAAAAAAGAAAGAAAGAUUGUUAAAGAUCUACUUUGGUAAAAUGUGAAGGAAUUAAACAUUCCAGUUAAAAGGCAGAGAGUGUCAGACUGAAUUU